Dendrobium catenatum is the source of this 333-nucleotide long non-coding RNA. RefSeq lists it as uncharacterized. The record is from RefSeq and is a predicted model, not a curated record. Lineage: Eukaryota; Viridiplantae; Streptophyta; Magnoliopsida; Asparagales; Orchidaceae. The transcript has 2 exons.
UCUUAAACCGCUUAUUGGUUUGCAUUAGAAAUUAAAAACCGACUUCUGCCCUAGCAAUCUUAUUCGACCACGCGAUCUCUUUACUCUCUGCGCGUCUCUUCUCCCUGCGAACAAAUUACUUCUCCGUUUCUUCUCCCCGUGAACAACCCGCCUCCUCCCCAACCUUCCACAACACGGAUGGCGACAACGACGUCGACGGCGACAACGACGCCGACGCCACUGCUUCCAGUCUAAGAAGAUCUUCGCUGCCGCUUUCGUUCGCACCUUAACCAAGCAAACGUUGGCCCAAAAUUGGCAAAGCCAGCCGACCACAUACCACCAUACCAAUCAUAG